Molecule: ribosomal RNA, 359 nt
Filed under: uncultured prokaryote
Description: partial 16S ribosomal RNA
Source: RNAcentral
UCGAAAUCAUCUUCGGUUAAAUCCAAAACGGCAGAAGCCUGAAUGAGCUUAAUAGAGGCCAAAGCGGUCUGGAAACGUACGGAUUGUUCAGUAACUUGACUCAUGAUUUCUUACCUAUUAGUGGUUGAACAGCAUCGGACUCAGAUAGUAAUCCACGCUCUUUUAAAAUGUCAACAAGAGAAUCUCUACCAUGAACAAAAUGUGACUCAUAUCUAAACCAGUCCUUGACGAACGUGCCAAGCAUAUUAAGCCACUUCUCCUCAUCCAACGCGUCAGUUUUUGACAGAAUCGUUAGUUGAUGGCGAAAGGUCGCAAAGUAAGAGCUUCUCGAGCUGCGCAAGGAUAGGUCGAAUUUUCUC